CUCCUGGUUUGAAUUAUCCAAGCCCCUGCUCCUUUCCAUAAAUAUGAAUAAUCAAAACUUGAUUGUAUAAGUAUGUGAAUAUAUUAGAAUACAUAUAAAAAUUCAAAUAAAUUAUUAUUUGUAGGCAAGUAGAAAGAAGAUAUACUGGGUCUCAUUUGCUUCAUGGCUAGGAGUUACCUAUGACACUGACAAUUCUGUAAAUUCACCUUUCCCCUCCUUUUCCUUUUGUCUGGGUUCCCAUAUCACACAUUGACAGUGAAUGCCACCCCCUAAAAUUAAAUUGUCCUCCAGAUUGAAAAUUAUGUCAAUGGCUUUGGGAGUAUUCCAUAAAGAACCUGAUACUACAUUUGCUCAAUUCUAUAGGAUGUGAAAGUUUUUUUUUUAAAUAGUUGACUUAAAAGGAUUUCCUUUACAGUUUAAACUGGGCACAAAAGUCUUUAUUCCAAAUCCUAAGGAAAUAGCCAGUUCCACAAAAUCUAAAUGUAAACAAUAAACUCCAAAGGGAGGAUAAUUGAAAAAGGUGGAUCUGCAAUUAUUCACUGUGGAGGGGAAGGUUUAUUGAUACCUGACUUGUUCAGAAUUAUACUCAAGUUGGCCAGGAAUUUUCAGGAUUAUUGUUGCACAACAGCAUAACUGUACAUCUUGUGCCAGUCUUAGGGAAAUCCCAGAAUUAUAGAUGUUCUUGCAUCUUAUGAACUGACAUCUAAUAUACUGAAACAACCUGGUCUAACAUGUCUAGUUGGUGAUUUUGUAAUCUUGUCUCUAGUAACCAGUCAGAAAAAGGUAUUCAGAGAUAGAGCCUUAUAACUGAACUAACCUGGUAAGAGUUUUACUGUGCCAUCCUGGAAAAUUAAAGAUUGAGGUCAUCCUAAGACAGAGGCCUAUUAUCCUGGGAAGAAGCAUAAAGUAGAGCAUAGAGCAUAGGAGAAUUUGGAUUCAAAAUCUGUCUCCAAAACUUAAGUGACCAUGAGAAAGUCAAUGAAGCACAUAGGUUAUAUCACUUCAUCAGGUUACAUUUCUUUUAAAAUAGGAAUGAGUAUAUACCAUGCCAAGUUGUGAGAAUCAAAUGAAAUAUCAGUUACUAUUCUUUGGACUGAGGUCAGAGCCUGAUGUUUUUCCUCAAGCACUUUAAUGGAAAUCUAGCUACUGACUCUCUUUUUCCCUCGGCUUCCCAGACUUUGAUAUAACAGGAGUGCUUUUUCAGAUCUUCUAUAUUUCUUCACACGCUGCCUACGUGACCCUAGACAAAUCACUUAGCAAUCUCAGUACUCUGAGUAGGUCUGGACUAUAACUUGCAGAGAAGGUGUCAAUUGGCACUGAUAAAGUUUCUUCAGAUAUGACACCAAUGAAAUCAGUCCAGCCAGUAUUCCUUCUUCCAAAUUUUUCACUGUAAUAGCUAUCUUAAAGCGUCUAGAGACAUAACAGCUAUUUUUAAAUACUUGCCAGGGUUUCUCAGGGAACAGAGAGCAGCCUCUUCAUGCUUGGCCUUCCAAAGGACAGAAUCCGAAGUUGAAAAGAGGUAUUUAGGCUUAAAAAUCUGAAAAUUUUUUUUUUUUUAAAAAGUAGCACUGCAUGAUACAGUAUAUAGAGCAUUUAACUUGAAUUUGGGAAGGGCUGGGUUCGAAUCCCACCUCAGACUUUUAUAAGCCAUAAGACUCUGAGGAAAGUUCUUCGGAGGUGGAAGAUUCAAAGCUUCUAAGAGUCCCUUCCAGCUCUUAUGAUCUUACAAUGUGGAAUGGGAAAUAAUGAGCUCUUCAUCACUAGAGGUCUUCAAGGGGAGGCUGGAUGACUGAGCUCUUGCUUAUUAGAGGUCUUCAGGGGGAGAUUGGAUGACUGGAUUGUUCAUCACUAGAGGUCUUCAAGGGGAGGCUGGAUGACUGACUGAGCUCUUGCUCACUAAGAAGUCUUUAAGGGGAGGCUGGAUGACUGCCUGGGAGCUGCUCAUCUUAGAAGUCUUUAAGGGAAGCUGGGAUGACUGAGCUCUUGCUCACUAGAGAUCUUCAUGAUCUCUAGAUCUAAAUCUAGAUCUAAAUGGUGGGCUGUUCAUCACUAGAAGUCUUCAUGAUCUCUAAAUCUAGAUCUAGAUCAUGGGCUAUUCAUCACUAGAGGUCUUCAUGAUCUCUAAAUCUAGAUCUAGAUUGUGGGCUGUUCAUCACUAGAAGUCUUCAUGAUCUCUAAAUCUAGAUCUAGAUCGUGGGCUGUUCAUCACUAGAGAUCUUCAUGAUCUCUAAAUCUAAAUCUAGAUCUAGAUCGUGGGCUGUUCAUCACUAGAGAUCUUCAUGAUCUCUAAGUCUAAAUCUAGAUCUAGAUC
This is a long non-coding RNA of Sarcophilus harrisii (Tasmanian devil), 2311 nucleotides long. NCBI's taxonomy places the organism in Eukaryota, Metazoa, Chordata, Mammalia, Dasyuromorphia, Dasyuridae. The record is from Ensembl.